Molecule: small nuclear RNA, 112 nt
Organism: Dromiciops gliroides (monito del monte)
Lineage: Eukaryota; Metazoa; Chordata; Mammalia; Microbiotheria; Microbiotheriidae
Source: RefSeq, a predicted model, not a curated record
UAUGCUCACUUCGGUAGCACAUAAUAUACUAAAAACUGGAAUGCUACAGAGAAGAUUAGCAUGGCCCCUGCGCAAGGAUGGCACGCAAAUUCGUGAAGCAUUCCAUAUUAUA